CAGUCGCCACGGUAAUACGGAGGGUGCGAGCGUUAAUCGGAUUUACUGGGCGUAAAGCGUGCGUAGGCGGCUUCUUAAGUCGGAUGUGAAAUCCCUGAGCUUAACUUAGGAAUUGCAUUCGAUACUGGGAAGCUAGAGUAUGGGAGAGGAUGGUAGAAUUCCAGGUGUAGCGGUGAAAUGCGUAGAGAUCUGGAGGAAUACCGAUGGCGAAGGCAGCCAUCUGGCCUAAUACUGACGCUGAGGUACGAAAGCAUGGGGAGCAAACAGGAUUAGAUACCCGGGUAGUCCCUGUCUCUUAUAC
RNAcentral lists this ribosomal RNA (301 nucleotides) under uncultured bacterium. RNAcentral's name for it is "partial 16S ribosomal RNA". It matches the Rfam family "Bacterial small subunit ribosomal RNA", at positions 509 to 807 of the family's 1533-position model. The record is from RNAcentral.